This 40-nucleotide transfer RNA is filed under the name Sphenomorphus maculatus. Its description in RNAcentral is "partial tRNA-Cys". The record is from RNAcentral. Lineage: Eukaryota; Metazoa; Chordata; Lepidosauria; Squamata; Scincidae.
AGCCACGGCACACCCUAGUGUGCGUCUCUAGAUUUGCAUU